RNAcentral lists this ribosomal RNA (1242 nucleotides) under metagenome. RNAcentral's name for it is "bacterial LSU rRNA". It matches the Rfam family "Bacterial large subunit ribosomal RNA", at positions 1564 to 2816 of the family's 2925-position model. The record is from RNAcentral.
UGAAUACGAGACGCUAAGGCGUCGAAGUAGUGUAUGUCAUACUUCCAAGAAAAGCUUGCACUGUCAUAGAUAAAAAACGCCUGUACCAUAACCGACACAGGUGGGUAGGUAGAGUAUACUAAGGGGCGCGAGAUAACUCUCUCUAAGGAACUCGGCAAAAUAACUCCGUAACUUCGGGAGAAGGAGUGCCUUAUUCGUAAGGUUGCAAUAACAAGAUCCAAGCAACUGUUUAUCAAAAACACAGGUCUCCGCUAAGUCGUAAGACGAUGUAUGGGGGCUGACGCCUGCCCAGUGCCAGAAGGUUAAAGAAGUUGGUUAGCAAUUGCGAAGCUGAUAACUGAAGCCCUGGUGAACGGCGGCCGUAACGAUAACGGUCCUAAGGUAGCGAAAUUCCUUGUCGGGUAAGUUCCGACCCGCACGAAAGGCGUAAUGAUUUGGAUACUGUCUCGGAGAGGGGCUCGGUGAAAUAGACUUGUCUGUGAAGAUGCGGACUACCUGCACCAGGACAGAAAGACCCUAUGAAGCUUUACUGUAACUUGAAAUUGAAAUUGGACUUUAUUCGCGCAGUAUAGGUGGGAGGCGUUGAUUAUAAUCUUGUGGGAUUAUUGGAGCCAUCAGUGAGAUACCACUCUUGUAAUGUUAGAUUUCUAACUUUGAAUCAUUAUCUGGUCAAAGAACAGUUUCAGGCGGGCAGUUUGACUGAGGCGGUCGCCUCCUAAACGGUAACGGAGGCGUACAAAGGUUUCCUCUGAACGGUUAGAAAUCGUAUCUAGAGUGUAAAGGCAUAAGGAAGCUUGACUGUGAGACCUACAAGUCGAGCAGGGACGAAAGUCGGUCUUAGUGAUCUGACGGUACUGAGUGGAAAGGCCGUCACUCAACGGAUAAAAGUUACUCUAGGAUAACAGGCUGAUCUCCCCCAAGAGUUCACAUCGACGGGGAGGUUUGGCACCUCGAUGUCGGCUCAUCGCAUCCUGGGGCGGUAGUACGUCCCAAGGGUUGGGCUGUUCGCCCAUGAAAGCGGUACGCGAGCUGGGUUCAGAACGUCGUGAGACAGUUCGGUCCAUAUCCGGUGUAGGCGUUAGAAUAUUGAGAGGAGCCUUCUUUAGUACGAGAGGACCGAGAAGGACAUACCUCUGGUGUACCAGUUAUCGUGCCAACGGUAAACGCUGGGUAGCUAUGUAUGGAGUGGAUAACCGCUGAAAGCAUCUAAGUGGGAAGCCCACCUCAAGAUAAGUAUCCUCA